RNAcentral lists this ribosomal RNA (774 nucleotides) under uncultured bacterium. RNAcentral describes it as "bacterial SSU rRNA". It matches the Rfam family "Bacterial small subunit ribosomal RNA", at positions 8 to 796 of the family's 1533-position model. The record is from RNAcentral.
AGAGUUUGAUCCUGGCUCAGGACGAACGCUGGCGGCGUGCUUAACACAUGCAAGUCACGGGGGCCCGCAAGGGCAACCGGCGAACGGGUGCGUAACACGUGAGCAAUCUGCCAAUCUGUGGGGGAUAGCCGACCCAACGGCCGGGUAAUACCGCAUACGUUCACGAGGGGACAUCCCCUUGUGAGGAAACCUCCGGGGCAGAUUGAGGGGCUCGCGACCUAUCAGCUAGUUGGUGAGGUAACGGCUCACCAAGGCGACGACGGGUAGCUGGUCUGAGAGGAUGGCCAGCCACAUUGGGACUGCGACACGGCCCAGACUCCUACGGGAGGCAGCAGUGGGGAAUAUUGCGCAAUGGACGAAAGUCUGACGCAGCGACGCCGCGUGUGGGAUGAAGCUCUUCGGGGUGUAAACCACUGUUGCCCGGGAAGAACCUCCUGAUUCAUCAGGAUUGACGGUACCGGGUGAGGAAGCACCGGCUAACUCUGUGCCAGCAGCCGCGGUAAUACAGAGGGUGCGAGCGUUGUCCGGAAUCACUGGGCGUAAAGGGCGCGUAGGUGGCUGGGUAAGUGUGCGGUGAAAGUCCGGGGCUCAACCCCGGAUCGGUCGUGCAGACUGCCUGGCUCGAGCAUAGUAGAGGCACGUGGAAUUCCGGGUGUAGCGGUGGAAUGCAGAGAUCCGGAGGAACACCGGUGGCGAAGGCGGCGUGCUGGGCUAUUGCUGACACUGAUGCGCGACAGCGUGGGGAGCAAACAGGAUUAGAUACCCUAGUAGUCC